Equus asinus (donkey) is the source of this 1601-nucleotide long non-coding RNA. Lineage: Eukaryota; Metazoa; Chordata; Mammalia; Perissodactyla; Equidae. The record is from Ensembl.
CAAACACGUUCCUGUCGGAGGUGCAUGCAGACAUCUCUUUCUGUUUGGAGUAAUUGACCAUGUAUGACAGAGCAUGAGACCUCCCCUUACAGGCCUUCCUGACUCCGAUUUAGUUGAGGUUUGUUUUUAUUAAUUUCACAUUUCUCCCUUUGGAUUAAGAUCUUUCUCCAAGAGCAUCACUGGUCAAGAGUCAGGUCUUUUGAGUUUGGUAGCCUUUGUCCCUCAGUGCCAGGAAGGAUCUUUCCCAAUUGUCAUGUCCCACAUGGAAGAGAAAGUGCACAGUCUGAGGCCACAUUUGAGUAACAAGGAAAGCUAUCAGGGAGAAUUCUCAGGCAUUUUCUUAGCCAGAGUCCAUAUUCUUCUGAGGUUGUAGGCAUUGGAAAUCAUCUGGAGGUGCUGAGCUAGCAUCACCUUAUUAGGUAUGUCAUCUUUACAAAGGUUCAACAGGCAACAAGUACAGAACUUUACAACAAAUAUACAAAGCAAAAUCAACAGCAAUACUAUAAAUCCAGUUUGCAGGAUAGUUCCAAACCAAGCCCAGACCUGAAGGUAACCAGCUGAAUACAUCCAAAGACAGUGGAUUUUCAGAUGAAAUUUAUUGUAGCCAAUGUGCCUGCUCUCUAAUUUUAUGUAAUUGGGUCUCUACCUCCCCAGAGGCAUUUAUCUACGUGCAAUAGGAGGUGUUUGCUAUUGCACAGACACCUCCUUGCUCAGUAAGCGUAUAAUUAAAGUCUAUACAAUUAUUCAAAACUACCUUGCCCAAUGAGUUAAGCAAGCGUUGCUGAGCUGAAAAUGCCUUGGCUGCAGAGUUGGCCAACUCUGCUAGUGUCAGGGUAAGAUUCUUGAUCAUUUGUUGACUGGCAGUCACUUCAAUACAUGGAAAGAAAGUUUUCUACACAGAGGCAAACCCAGAAUCAUCAUGCCUCCUGGAAGUUCUUAUUUAAGGUGAUUAUAGAGGUUUAAGGUGAUGGAGCAAUGAGAGGCUUCACGUAGAGAGAAUAGAACAGUGAAUACAGCAAAGGCACACUCUCCUUAUAUUCUUCAGCUGUCAAAAUGAUGAGUCAGCCAAACAUAAUGGCCAUUCCCCAAACUUUCACACAGGAAGUUGUAACCAUAAGGCUCCCACAUAAGUGAUGGUAUCUAUGGACUCAUUCAUUGGCAUAAAGGCAUUAGCAUAAUUUAACCAAAGCUCACGCGUUAUGUUAUUACAUACUGAGAGGUUACCUAAAUAUAAGGGUCUGUCAAGAAGUUUACAAAUGGCCUGAUUUACAUUGGUGAUCCUAGAAAGUUUCUUAUAUGGCUAUUCGAGAGGUCUCAUUUUCCCAUCCUAGGGGUGGGUUAAGCUGAAACAAGAAACAAAGUGAAGUGGGCUUAGUACCCUAACUUCAUAAAGUAGGUCUGUGGAACAAUUGAACCAUAUAGUAGCACUUGGGAUUCCAGUAAAAAUACUCUGUGGGAACUAAGAGGUCUCAUUUUCCCAUCCUAGGGGUGGGUUAAGCUGAAACAAGAAACAAAGUGAAGUGGGCUUAGUACCCUAACUUCAUAAAGUAGGUCUGUGGAACAAUUGAACCAUAUAGUAGCACUUGGGAUUCCAGUAAAAA